CAGUAGCCACGGUGAUACGUAGGGUGCGAGCGUUAAUCGGAAUUACUGGGCGUAAAGCGUGCGCAGGCGGUUGUGUAAGACAGGUGUGAAAUCCCCGGGCUUAACCUGGGAACUGCGCUUGUGACUGCACAGCUAGAGUAUGGCAGAGGGGGGUGGAAUUCCACGUGUAGCAGUGAAAUGCGUAGAGAUGUGGAGGAACACCGAUGGCGAAGGCAGCCCCCUGGGCCAAUACUGACGCUCAUGCACGAAAGCGUGGGGAGCAAACAGGAUUAGAUACCCGAGUAGUCCCUGUCUCUUAUAC
RNAcentral lists this ribosomal RNA (301 nucleotides) under uncultured bacterium. RNAcentral's name for it is "partial 16S ribosomal RNA". It matches the Rfam family "Bacterial small subunit ribosomal RNA", at positions 509 to 807 of the family's 1533-position model. The record is from RNAcentral.